CCUACGGGAGGCAGCAGUAGGGAAUAUUGCUCAAUGGGGGAAACCCUGAAGCAGCAACGCCGCGUGGAGGAUGAAGGUUUUAGGAUUGUAAACUCCUUUUGUGAGAGAAGAUAAUGACGGUAUCUCACGAAUAAGCACCGGCUAACUCCGUGCCAGCAGCCGCGGUAAUACGGAGGGUGCAAGCGUUACUCGGAAUCACUGGGCGUAAAGAGUGCGCAGGCGGGCUUGUAAGUCAGAUGUGAAAUCCUGUAGCGUAACUACAGAACUGCAUUUGAAACUAUGAGUCUAGAGUGUGGGAGAGGGAGGUGGAAUUCUUGGUGUAGGGGUAAAAUGCGUAGAUAUCAAGAGGAAUACUCAUUGCGAAGGCGACCUACUGGAACAUUACUGACGCUCAUGCACGAAAGCGUGGGGAGCAAACAGGAUUAGAUACCCUUGUAGUC
Molecule: ribosomal RNA, 440 nt
Filed under: uncultured bacterium
Lineage: Bacteria
Description: partial 16S ribosomal RNA
Rfam family: Bacterial small subunit ribosomal RNA
Source: RNAcentral